This 387-nucleotide long non-coding RNA is filed under the name Aquila chrysaetos chrysaetos. Its description in RNAcentral is "lncRNA (ENSACCG00020002914.1)". Lineage: Eukaryota; Metazoa; Chordata; Aves; Accipitriformes; Accipitridae. The record is from RNAcentral.
GCCAAGCAAAGGGGUCGGGAGAGAGGCACAGGUUCCUGCCCUUUGGAUGUUUGCUGUGCAUGAUCUGCUUGUGUUGACUGUGCAGAGAUUGGAGCAGACAUUCAACAAGAACAACAUGAAAAGAAGGAGGCAGAGAUACAAGAGCGCAUUGAAAAAAUGAAAGCUGAACUUUGGGCUCAGGCUGAAAUGCACAAGGAAGAUGCAGUGGAUAAAGCUCUCAAAGAGGCAGCCGCUAACCACAGUGCGUUUGUACAAGACCUUAAACAAAAACUUGGAAAGGAAUUAAGGCCCGAGCAAUAUCUUGCUGACAAGCAUACAAAGGACCAGGCGGCUUCUCCAUCUCACUCUAAAACCAUGUCACUGGCCAUGUGAGCUUGUAAACAAAAU